GGAUUAUCGGAUUACUGAAAUGAGACAUAAUGUUGAGUUUGGUAUUCCUCUUAAUGCAUUUACUAUCAUCUAAUUUAAGAUAGCCUGAAAACGAUGAACAUGAACUAUUUUGUUCUAACAAAUACUAUAGGAAGCGAAAACGUUUUAGCAUGUCCUUUAAUAUCAGUUGAAGAAAACUAACAGUGAACUUUUAGAUAAACUAUUAUUUUAGUAAAACUACUGUUAUAAAAUGCUAUAAUGAUAGGCUUACAUAAUCAGUUAAGGUUAUUUCGAGCUGCAGAGGUAAUAAUAAUUGUUGAACCAAAUUUUACGAAGUAAAACUGAACCAUGUCAUGAAAGUCAAUUCACGUUUGCAAGAAUACACACGCAUACACUAAAAGAGAAUAUCUCUUAACGUAAAUAUGUUUACCUAUAUCCACUUCUGUAAAUGUUUGAAUGUGAUAAUAUGUAAAAAAAAAAAAAUGAAAAAAAGUAAUACCUACAAAUUGAAGUUAACUGCAACUGAAAUAUCACAGAUACAGACUGAUAUUUAUUAAGCGAGUGAUGAUUAUAUGUGCAUAAUGUCUUCUCGUGAAGAGGCGGAAUUCAUAAAUAAAAUCGUUUUUGUUUUGAAUAACACAGUAAAUAUAUAGCAAUUAGCGAGGGAGGAAAAUUAGACGUGGAAAUGCAUUUUGCACAAUUAUCAUGAUAGGGUGCCAAAUUAAGGUGAUCAAAGUAGAAUAUCAACAGAUUUUUAUUAUUAUCAUUGUGCAAGUUGGGGUUCCACUAGGACAUAAAGAAAAGUAUAAUCACAAAAAUACUUAACUCCGAGGAAAAUUCAAAACGUAAAGUCCCUAAUCAAAUAGCAAAAUCAAAAGUCUCAAACACA
This 868-nucleotide long non-coding RNA is filed under the name Mytilus galloprovincialis (Mediterranean mussel). Lineage: Eukaryota; Metazoa; Mollusca; Bivalvia; Mytilida; Mytilidae. The record is from RNAcentral.